GUGGUUGCAAAUUUCGCCAGUUAGCCUAUCUUGUCGGGGCGGGCUUAGCGGCCCGAUAUGGCGAUAAAGAGUGUCGUGAAAUAGACGUUCGGACCCGGGGGCGGUACCCGGCGGCUCCACCAAAUCUCUCCGUUGUCGGGGGAAGCGAGGGGCCGAAACAGGAUCGACGUGCGUUCAAAGACGAAGACUUUUGCCCGGCCUGAAUGAGCCGUAAAACCGUUCAUAACUCUAAAUGCCAACGACAACGAGGCAUUCGCAAUCGCAGCGUAACCCGGUCCUAACGGACUAAGUUACACUGGCCGAAAGCGCGGUAGGGACUGCACCGGGCAACAGAAGCAGAAACC
This 344-nucleotide transfer-messenger RNA is filed under the name Glacieibacterium frigidum. RNAcentral's name for it is "Alphaproteobacteria transfer-messenger RNA". It matches the Rfam family "Alphaproteobacteria transfer-messenger RNA". From Rfam's summary of the family: Bacterial tmRNA, also known as 10Sa RNA or SsrA, is named for its dual tRNA and mRNA-like properties. Its role is to liberate the mRNA from a stalled ribosome. Lineage: Bacteria; Pseudomonadati; Pseudomonadota; Alphaproteobacteria; Sphingomonadales; Sphingosinicellaceae. The record is from Rfam by way of RNAcentral.